AAACGACUCUCGGCAACGGAUAUCUCGGCUCUCGCAUCGAUGAAGAACGUAGCGAAAUGCGAUACUUGGUGUGAAUUGCAGAAUCCCGUGAACCAUCGAGUCUUUGAACGCAAGUUGCGCCCGAAGCCCCUUGGGGUCAAGGGCACGUCUGCCUGGGUGUCACGC
RNAcentral lists this ribosomal RNA (165 nucleotides) under Rinorea oblongifolia. RNAcentral describes it as "5.8S ribosomal RNA". It matches the Rfam family "5.8S ribosomal RNA". Rfam says of the family: 5.8S ribosomal RNA (5.8S rRNA) is a component of the large subunit of the eukaryotic ribosome. It is transcribed by RNA polymerase I as part of the 45S precursor that also contains 18S and 28S rRNA. Lineage: Eukaryota; Viridiplantae; Streptophyta; Magnoliopsida; Malpighiales; Violaceae. The record is from RNAcentral.